UACGGAGGAGGCGAGCGCUAUCCGGAAUUAUUGGGCGUAAAGCGUCCGUAGGUGGGUGGCCAAGUCUGCUGUCAAAGGGUGGGGCUUAACCUCAUAAAGGCAGUGGAAACUGGCGAGCUAGAGUGCGGUAGGGGUAGGGGGAAUUCCCAGUGUAGCGGUGAAAUGCGUAGAGAUUGGGAAGAACAUCGGUGGCGAAAGCGUCCUGCUGGGCCUGCACUGACACUGAGGGACGAAAGCUAGGGGAGCUAAAGGG
This 253-nucleotide ribosomal RNA is filed under the name uncultured bacterium. RNAcentral's name for it is "partial 16S ribosomal RNA". It matches the Rfam family "Bacterial small subunit ribosomal RNA", at positions 524 to 776 of the family's 1533-position model. The record is from RNAcentral.